GGAGAGACAAACAAGCUUCGUCUCACAACAUGUUUUUUCCUCUCUGAGCUGGUGUUUGCUGGUUAGAGUGACACACACAGGAGUCACAAAUGAAAGAUUCAGAACUUCACUACCUUCAACUGCACUCAGCAAUCAAAUCAACACUCUCAGGAUGGGACGAUGUUUAAAAAGUGGGUUAAACUAAAACAGGCGACGAUGAGAUGGAAAACAUGAAGUUCCAUCCUGCUGUUUUUAACAAACGAUGAAUGGAAACGGAGAAAAUAGGAUCCACAUGCGCAGAGAGACCCGGUUCGACCCCUCAGGUCCUCUGACUUCACUCAAAACAUCCUCGAAAAAAGGGAGAAAAAAGAAAUGUGAUAAAAAUCAGUGACACAGACGUGAAGAGUAGAGCAGAGCUGCCAGCGCUCCGUCACUGAUUACACACACUGUGGAAAUGGGAUUAUAGCCCCAUCUCUGGAUCAUGUCAACAACAUAAUGCGAUGUGUUUAGAGAGAAAUCAAAUUAGCACGCUUGGAUUUAUCCCCGAUAAUCUGAUGUCUACGGGCAUGCACGCUCCUUAAUCUGAUCUUUCUUUUCAUCUGCGCAUGUGUGAAACCCUGGAAAACACAGACGACGACACAUCCUGAAGAGAGGAAGAAGAAAAAAAAAACAUGGCACACAGAGGGAAAGUUCUGGAGAGAAGAGAGGAGACAGGAAGUUUUCCCUUCAGCUCACACUUCUCUCAAACUGUCACAUGAUGAAUACACUCAGACAAAACGUUUGUGUUGUGAUCUUCAACACAAAUCAGGAGGAUUGUUCUGAAUGUGUCAGCUGGACACUUAAAAAGUCACACAGAUUAACUGUUCAGUAUAGAUGAUUUAUUUCAUUCAUAUGUACGAAGUUUGCGUCAACAAAAUACAGUAUCUCUUGUAAAUAGUGAGAAUAUAGAAUACAAUACAAUAGAUAUUUCUUUAGUGAAGUUCAAUAGUUUGUUUCUCAUGUUGUGAAUCAUGCAUGUCUCUUUAUCGUUAAUUCUUAUUGUCGACAUUUGAUCCCAAACUUUUGUAUAAUUACUUUCUUUUUCAUUACUGUUAUU
Molecule: long non-coding RNA, 1075 nt
Organism: Salarias fasciatus (jewelled blenny)
Lineage: Eukaryota; Metazoa; Chordata; Actinopteri; Blenniiformes; Blenniidae
Exons: 3
Source: RefSeq, a predicted model, not a curated record